AUGUCAAAGAGGCUGUGGUGCUUGAAAGAAAGGAGGAGGCUGUUGUUUUUUCUCAGAGGAGCAGAAACAUCAGCUGAAAUGCUGAACAUAAAUGUUAGAUGGCCAAGAUGGAACAUUGCUCUGCAUUCCUUCUCUAUGACUGGAUACCAGGGUCAAAUUAGGUCUAUUUUGAAUCACCUACCAACAGAGCUCUUUGAAUUAUGGCAGCACGCUAAUAAUGUGCAAAGAUUGGCUGAUUGGGCUGUGUCAACAGACGAUUUCAAUUCACCAAUGGACUCAAUUGGUUUUGUGAGCUGUCAGAAUAUGCUAGAUAACCGCGAAUAUGGAAAACCAUAA
Molecule: ribosomal RNA, 336 nt
Filed under: Triticum aestivum (bread wheat)
Lineage: Eukaryota; Viridiplantae; Streptophyta; Magnoliopsida; Poales; Poaceae
Description: partial small subunit ribosomal RNA
Source: RNAcentral